AACGACUCUCGGCAACGGAUAUCUCGGCUCUCGCAUCGAUGAAGAACGUAGCGAAAUGCGAUACUUGGUGUGAAUUGCAGAAUCCCGUGAACCAUCGAGUCUUUGAACGCAAGCUGCGCCUGAAGCCUUCUGGCCGAGGGCACGUCUGCCUGGGCGUCACGC
RNAcentral lists this ribosomal RNA (162 nucleotides) under Portulaca sclerocarpa. RNAcentral's name for it is "5.8S ribosomal RNA". It matches the Rfam family "5.8S ribosomal RNA". Rfam says of the family: 5.8S ribosomal RNA (5.8S rRNA) is a component of the large subunit of the eukaryotic ribosome. The record is from RNAcentral. RNAcentral also lists the same sequence under 1 other name. Lineage: Eukaryota; Viridiplantae; Streptophyta; Magnoliopsida; Caryophyllales; Portulacaceae.